Molecule: ribosomal RNA, 315 nt
Filed under: Triticum aestivum (bread wheat)
Lineage: Eukaryota; Viridiplantae; Streptophyta; Magnoliopsida; Poales; Poaceae
Description: partial small subunit ribosomal RNA
Source: RNAcentral
AUGCUCAGGUAUCGCGUCGAUAUCUUUCCACCACCCACCCGUAUUAUUUCGGUGAUAGCCAUGCCUCUAUCCCGAAUCGUGCCAUCCAUCUCGUCCCUUUGGCAACCCUUACUGAUAUUUGUUAUCAGAAAAGGGCAAUGCCAUCAGGCCUUGCUUUUCCUCCCCUAUCCUGCCCUGUCAUCCCAUUCCUUGGGCGUGUAUGGUUCAUUUCGUAUGCUUGAUGAUGAUGUGGUCCUGACCUGUGUGUUCCACCACAUGAUCGCCAAGUCCGUCCUCACCUCCGUAUCCAUCCAGAUCCAGCCAGUGUUCAGCUAG